This 235-nucleotide ribosomal RNA is filed under the name uncultured bacterium. RNAcentral's name for it is "partial 16S ribosomal RNA". It matches the Rfam family "Bacterial small subunit ribosomal RNA", at positions 96 to 334 of the family's 1533-position model. The record is from RNAcentral.
UGGCGGACGGGUGAGUAAUGUCUGGGAAACUGCCUGAUGGAGGGGGAUAACUACUGGAAACGGUAGCUAAUACCGCAUAACGUCGCAAGACCAAAGAGGGGGACCUUAGGGCCUCUUGCCAUCGGAUGUGCCCAGAUGGGAUUAGCUAGUAGGUGGGGUAACGGCUCACCUAGGCGACGAUCCCUAGCUGGUCUGAGAGGAUGACCAGCCACACUGGAACUGGGACACGGUCCAG